UACGUAGGUUGCAAGCGUUGUCCGGAUUUACUGGGCGUAAAGAGCGCGCAGGCGGUCGUUUAAGUCGAGUGUGAAAGCCCCCGGCUCAACUGGGGAGGGUCACUCGAUACUGAUCGACUCGAAGGCAGAAGAGGGAAGCGGAAUUCCCGGUGUAGUGGUGAAAUGCGUAGAUAUCGGGAGGAACACCAGUGGCGAAGGCGGCUUUCUGGUCUGCCACUGACGCUGAGGCGCGAAAGCUAGGGUAGCAAACGGG
This 253-nucleotide ribosomal RNA is filed under the name uncultured bacterium. RNAcentral's name for it is "partial 16S ribosomal RNA". It matches the Rfam family "Bacterial small subunit ribosomal RNA", at positions 524 to 776 of the family's 1533-position model. The record is from RNAcentral.